This 253-nucleotide ribosomal RNA is filed under the name uncultured bacterium. Its description in RNAcentral is "partial 16S ribosomal RNA". It matches the Rfam family "Bacterial small subunit ribosomal RNA", at positions 524 to 776 of the family's 1533-position model. The record is from RNAcentral.
UACGGGGGGGGCAAGCGUUGUUCGGAAUUACUGGGCGUAAAGGGCUCGUAGGCGGCCAACUAAGUCAGACGUGAAAUCCCUCGGCUUAACCGGGGAACUGCAUCUGAUACUGGAUGGCUUGAGUUCGGGAGAGGGAUGCGGAAUUCCUGGUGUAGCGGUGAAAUGCGCAGAUAUCAGGAGGAACACCGAUGGCGAAGGCAGGUCUCUGGGCCGAUACUGACGCUGAGGAGCGAAAGCGUGGGGAGCGAACAGG